UACAGGGGGUGCAAACGUUGCUCGGAAUUAUUGGGCGUAAAGCGCACGUAGGCGGUUCGUUAUGUCAGAUGUGAAAGCCCUUGGCUCAACUGAGGAAGUGCAUCUGAAACUGGCGAGCUAGAGUACGUAAGAGGGUCGCGGAAUUCCCGGUGUAGAGGUGAAAUUCGUAGAUAUCGGGAGGAGCACCGGUGGCGAAGGCGGCGACCUGGGACGAUACUGACGCUGAGGUGCGAAAGCGUGGGGAGCAAACAGG
RNAcentral lists this ribosomal RNA (253 nucleotides) under uncultured bacterium. RNAcentral describes it as "partial 16S ribosomal RNA". It matches the Rfam family "Bacterial small subunit ribosomal RNA", at positions 524 to 776 of the family's 1533-position model. The record is from RNAcentral.